GAUGAACGCUGGCGGCGUGCUUAACACAUGCAAGUCGAACGGAAAGGCUCCUGCUUGCAGGGGUACUCGAGUGGCGAACGGGUGAGUAACACGUGGGUGAUCUGCCCUGCACUUCGGGAUAAGCCUGGGAAACUGGGUCUAAUACCGGAUAGGACGAUGGUUUGGAUGCCAUUGUGGAAAGUUUUUCGGUGUGGGAUGAGCUCGCGCCUAUCAGCUUGUUGGUGGGGUAAUGGCCUACCAAGGCGUCGACGGGUAGCCGGCCUGAGAGGGUGUACGGCCACAUUGGGACUGAGAUACGGCCCAGACUCCUACGGGAGGCAGCAGUGGGGAAUAUUGCACAAUGGGCGCAAGCCUGAUGCAGCGACGCCGCGUGGGGGAUGACGGCCUUCGGGUUGUAAACUCCUUUCGCUAGGGACGAAGCGCAAGUGACGGUACCUGGAGAAGAAGCACCGGCUAACUACGUG
Molecule: ribosomal RNA, 464 nt
Filed under: uncultured bacterium
Lineage: Bacteria
Description: partial 16S ribosomal RNA
Rfam family: Bacterial small subunit ribosomal RNA
Source: RNAcentral